This 464-nucleotide ribosomal RNA is filed under the name uncultured bacterium. Its description in RNAcentral is "partial 16S ribosomal RNA". It matches the Rfam family "Bacterial small subunit ribosomal RNA", at positions 339 to 795 of the family's 1533-position model. The record is from RNAcentral.
CUACGGGAGGCUCCAGUGGGGAAUAUUGCACAAUGGGCGCAAGCCUGAUGCAGCCAUGCCGCGUGUAUGAAGAAGGCCUUCGGGUUGUAAAGUACUUUCAGCGGGGAGGAAGGGAGUAAAGUUAAUACCUUUGCUCAUUGACGUUACCCGCAGAAGAAGCACCGGCUAACUCCGUGCCAGCAGCCGCGGUAAUACGGAGGGUGCAAGCGUUAAUCGGAAUUACUGGGCGUAAAGCGCACGCCGGCGGUUUGUUAAGUCAGAUGUGAAAUCCCAGGGCUCAACCUGGGAACUGCAUCUGAUACUGGCAAGCUUGAGUCUCGUAGAGGGGGGUAGAAUUCCAGGUGUAGCGGUGAAAUGCGUAGAGAUCUGGAGGAAUACCGGUGGCGAAGGCGGCCCCCUGGACGAAGACUGACGCUCAGGUGCGAAAGCGUGGGGAGCAAACAGGAUUAGAUACCCCAGUAGUC